This 115-nucleotide ribosomal RNA is filed under the name Pseudobdellovibrionaceae bacterium. Lineage: Bacteria; Pseudomonadati; Bdellovibrionota; Bdellovibrionia; Bdellovibrionales; Pseudobdellovibrionaceae. The record is from RNAcentral.
GGCUGUGUCUUUGGCGAAGAGGAAAUACCCGUUCCCAUCCCGAACACGGAAGUCAAGCUCUUCAGCGGCGAUGGUACUGCAGAUUUAUCUGUGGGAGAGUAGCACGAUGCAGCCU